Molecule: ribosomal RNA, 178 nt
Filed under: Lichtheimia corymbifera
Lineage: Eukaryota; Fungi; Mucoromycota; Mucoromycetes; Mucorales; Lichtheimiaceae
Description: partial 28S ribosomal RNA
Source: RNAcentral
UUUAGAGCGCUUUAAGAGCAGCUUGGUUAGUGAGUUCAAUAAUUCCAAGCAUUAAGUCUUUUAAUGAACUAGCUUUUCUAUCUAUGGGACACUACUUGGAGAAAUCCAAGUAACCUUUAAACUCACAUUUAGAUCUGAAAUCAACUGAGACCACCCGCUGAACUUAAGCAUAUCAAUA